AUGUGAUCGUCUCUCGCAUAUCAAUAAGCGGAGGAAAAGAAACUAACAAGGAUUCCCCUAGUAACGGCGAGUGAAGCGGGAAGAGCUCAAAUUUGAAAUCUUAAAGGGUUUCCCUUUACGAAUUGUAGUUUAAAGAAGUGUUUUCUGUUGAGGUUUUGGUAAAAGUUCUUUGGAAUAGGACAUCAUAGAGGGUGAGAAUCCCGUAUUUGACCUUUACUUUCAACUUUGUGAUACACUUUCAAAGAGUCGGAUUGUUUGGGAAUGCAGUCCAAAAUGGGUGGUAAAUUUCAUCUAAAGCUAAAUAUUGGCGAGAGACCGAUAGCGAACAAGUACCGUGAGGGAAAGAUGAAAAGAACUUUGAAAAGAGAGUUAAACAGUACGUGAAAUUGUCAAAAGGGAAGCGUUUGACACCAGUGUUGUUUUUCUGAAAAUCAAUUAAAGAACUGUUUAUGCUAAGUUGUUUAGACUUUAUCAGCUAACUGUUUAAUUUUGAGCUUUUCUUUAAUGCACUUUUCAGUUAACAAGUCAACAUCAAUUUCUUUUGCUGUAAAAAAGCUUGAGGAAGGUGGCUUGAGAUUCGUCUUAAGUGUUUAUAGCCUCUUGCCUAUGCAGUCGGAGAGAUUGAGGUCUGCAGCGUAGAUCCUUCGGGGCUAAAUGCAUUUGUGCUAAGUUAUAGCAUUUUAUAGACAACUUGUUGACUAUGAUUUGUCUUGUAGCUUACUCGCUUAUGUUAUUUUACCUACGCUUAGGAUGUUGAUAUGCAUGACUGAUAU
Molecule: ribosomal RNA, 773 nt
Filed under: uncultured Neocallimastigales
Lineage: Eukaryota; Fungi; Neocallimastigomycota; Neocallimastigomycetes; Neocallimastigales
Description: partial large subunit ribosomal RNA
Rfam family: Eukaryotic large subunit ribosomal RNA
Source: RNAcentral